This 253-nucleotide ribosomal RNA is filed under the name uncultured bacterium. RNAcentral's name for it is "partial 16S ribosomal RNA". It matches the Rfam family "Bacterial small subunit ribosomal RNA", at positions 524 to 777 of the family's 1533-position model. The record is from RNAcentral.
UACGUAGGGGGCUAGCGUUGUCCGGAAUCAUUGGGCGUAAAGCGCGUGUAGGCGGUCCGGUAAGUCCGCUGUGAAAGCCAGGGGCUCAACCCUUGGAUGCCGGUGGAUACUGUCGGGCUUGAGUACGGAAGAGGCGAGUGGAAUUCCGUGGUGUAGCGGUGAAAUGCGCAGAUAUCAGGAGGAACACCGGUGGUGUAAACGGCUUCUGACCAUAACUGACGCUGAGGCACGAAAGCGUGGGUAGCAAACAGGA